CAAGGAGUUUGCAAGCACGUUAAAGAUGUUAGGAAAAAUGUACGCGUUUUGCACUAAAACAAAAACGCCCCAGAAAAACUUUGCCAUUUUCAGAUCGAACAUCUGUAAAUGACGCACAGCAACUGUUUGACAUGACAAUGUUUUUGGCUACGGGAAAUCAGUUGAACGUUUGCGACGAAUUUUAUCCUUCGGUCCAACGUUUUCGUUUAUUAAGUCUUCGUUGAAAUAACUUAGGUACCUAAUUCAAAUGUACAAUUACU
Cinara cedri is the source of this 260-nucleotide non-coding RNA. Lineage: Eukaryota; Metazoa; Arthropoda; Insecta; Hemiptera; Aphididae. The record is from the annotation of a GenBank genome assembly.